This 65-nucleotide transfer RNA is filed under the name Candidiopotamon okinawense. Its description in RNAcentral is "tRNA-Thr". Lineage: Eukaryota; Metazoa; Arthropoda; Malacostraca; Decapoda; Potamidae. The record is from RNAcentral.
GUUUUGAUAGUUUAUAUAAAACCUUGGUCUCGUAAACCAAAUAUGAAAUAAUAUUUCUCAAACCU